RNAcentral lists this long non-coding RNA (959 nucleotides) under Leguminivora glycinivorella. Its description in RNAcentral is "uncharacterized LOC125231468, transcript variant X1". Lineage: Eukaryota; Metazoa; Arthropoda; Insecta; Lepidoptera; Tortricidae. The record is from RNAcentral.
CAUAUACCUACAGCUGGAGCACCUCUCUAGUGUGUCUGGCAAGCUUGAUGGUUUAAUUAUUAAGCUUAUGCACCAUGCCUGAUGAUGAUAUAUAAAUACCUUUGUCAAGAACCAUUUGGGUUUCCUGAUAAGCACAUUGUACCUGAAUCUUGUGGUAUCCAUGGUAGUGUAAUUAAUGUGAUAUCCACAAAUGAAGUGAUUUCCGUCACUUAAAGUAGGUCGCUGGUGAAAUUACGGUUUCCAAUAGAGCGGAGAGAGCAACUGUUCGGAAUGCCUAGCUGAACGAAUGCAUGCUACAGGCUGCGCGACAACCUUGUCAUGAAGGGCCAACUUCUGCGGUCGUUGCGCUGACAGCCACGAAAGAAGCCGUAUCACCGUGGCUUUCGUAUGAAGAUUUGAUAUGGUAAUGUGUGUUGUCUUAUAGCAAAAUUGGUGGCUAGUACACAUUGAUUAUUACCAUUUAUUAAUUUUAUCAUGUUGAUAGAAAAAAAUAAUCAGCGGUUGUUAAAGGUCCUGCCAAGGAACAGCCAUGUAUUCUGCUUAAUAUAUAUUAAAAAAAAAAAAAAAAAAAAUACAUGACAAUAUUUUGUAAUGUCUUGAUUGUCAUUGUUUAUUACUAAAUUAUUUAACGGCUAUGUAAGCCGGAUCUGUAAUUGAGAGCACCUACUAUGCCAAUUGUAAAUUAAUUUCUCGUAACCUUAUCAUGUUACUUGAACGACAGUUGUGUUGUACUGAUUCUAUCACCUACUGGCUUAGUUCCAAGGAAAAAUUAUCACGCUCUCGUUACAUUAAGGAACUUAGUAUUUCCCAUGUAUGUUACAGAGCUUCUUAACAAGAGCUUGUGCUGUGUUGGAAGGUGGCUAUGAUCACGCAUAGGGUGUGUCAUGUUAACCUCUCACGAGUUGUACGCCUUCUUGCGCAUGUGGGGAGCUUCACAGCCUACAGUGACGAAGCCAACU